CCCUUAGAUGUUCUGGGCCGCACGCGUGCUACACUGAGUGGAUCAGCGGGUCAGGUUGCGCGAAAGUGUUUCCUAAUCUUUAAAUCCGCUCGUGAUGGGGAUUGACGGUUGCAAUUUUCCGUCAUGAACGAGGAAUACCUUGUAAGCGCGGGUCAUCAUCCCGCGCUGAAUACGUCCCUGCCCUUUGUACACACCGCCCGCCACUCCUACCGAUUGAGUGGUCCGGUGAGGCUUUGGGAUCUGAGCGGAAAGAGCGUUUCGCUGUUUCUGCCCGGAAAACUCAGUCGAACCUUAUCAUUUAGAGGAAGGAGAAGUCGUAACA
This 322-nucleotide ribosomal RNA is filed under the name uncultured eukaryote. RNAcentral describes it as "partial 18S ribosomal RNA". It matches the Rfam family "Eukaryotic small subunit ribosomal RNA", at positions 1470 to 1796 of the family's 1831-position model. The record is from RNAcentral.